CAAUAUCAAGACCUGGGUAAUCACCAGUGAAUAACCACCAGUCUCACAAGGAGAAAUUAAACCACUGAUCACUCAGUCCACACUUAGCUCCCUGGAAGACUACGAGAGUGACUUUCAGUUCUCUGUUACUGUGCCUCCCAACCACACAAAAUAGUUGAGGUCUAACUACAAAAGGAAGAAUUUUCCUGACUGUCCAUAAUAUCAACCACUUCCUGGAAUGAAAUAUCACUUUAUAUAAAUUAUCACCA
Molecule: long non-coding RNA, 248 nt
Filed under: Gallus gallus (chicken)
Lineage: Eukaryota; Metazoa; Chordata; Aves; Galliformes; Phasianidae
Source: RNAcentral